Molecule: ribosomal RNA, 320 nt
Filed under: uncultured bacterium
Lineage: Bacteria
Description: bacterial SSU rRNA
Rfam family: Bacterial small subunit ribosomal RNA
Source: RNAcentral
AUUGAACGCUGGCGGCAGGCCUAACACAUGCAAGUCGAGCGGGGUUUUCGGACCUAGCGGCGGACGGGUGAGUAAUGCGUAGGAAGCUACCCGAUAGAGGGGGAUACCAGUUGGAAACGACUGUUAAUACCGCAUAAUGUCUACGGACCAAAGUGUGGGACCUUCGGGCCACAUGCUAUCGGAUGCGCCUACGUGGGAUUAGCUAGUUGGUGGGGUAAUGGCUCACCAAGGCGACGAUCCCUAGCUGGUUUGAGAGGAUGAUCAGACACACUGGAACUGAGACACGGUCCAGACUCCUACGGGAGGCAGCAGUGGGGAAU